ACGUGGGUAAUUGAAAGAUGAACUGAGGUCCACACUCCAGUCGGUAGUGCACCUUAAAAUUGGUUGCCAAGCGCCAUAUAAAGUCCAAAAAACAAGAGUAAGCCUGAAGGAGGAGAGAUUACUAGAAACGAACUCGGUUUACCCUAUUAUCUGUGGAUGAAAUGACGGAGUAGAGGACCUUGCGCAUUUCAGCACUCUGUGGCAUUUCAGAGAAGGCAGGUGGGUACCUGACUCUGACUGUUUGGUCACCUGGCCAGAUUGAACCCACUUCUGGAGCCUGUCCUCAUCCUCUAAAGGCAUCCCCUAACUUACCACGCCCAAGAGGAAAGAAGGCCUAGAGCCAGAUGGUCCAACCAGCUGGAAGACAACCUACACAACCUGGGACUCAACACCACAACAGCCUGGGACCUGGCCCGGUAACUGGAUGGCACGGAGAGCCUAAUAUCCACGUUCUACUCUCCAAGGAGCUAGUGAAGACGGAAGACAGCAGGAGGGCGUGGACCUGAGCGAAAGAGAGAGAGAGAAAAGAGAGAGAGGCUGAAAGCAAAAGGAAACAAGGUAGAAGAAAAGGAAGAGUGGGCGUGACAACAGAGAAAGAGAGAGAGCGAGAGGCUGAUACACACGCUCGCUCGGCAGGAGUGUGUCCAGAUUGCCCUCUGUGUGCGUUUUGUGUGUGUUGAGCAGGUGGGACUUUGAUGGGACAGUGAGCAAUGCCUCGCACGCAGCGACAGCAGGUUGGCAGUAGGGGGCGACGCACUCCUCUGCCCCUCCUCCUUCUCCCUCUCUUCUCCCUCCUCCUAUCCCACACUCCUCAGCUCAGCCAAGCAGCUAUACACAUACCUCCCAACUACCAAAUAAAUGAAUUCAAAAAGCCCCCGGUGAUCACCACCCAGCCUGAGUCCAUCA
Salvelinus sp. IW2-2015 is the source of this 906-nucleotide non-coding RNA. The record is from RefSeq and is a predicted model, not a curated record. Lineage: Eukaryota; Metazoa; Chordata; Actinopteri; Salmoniformes; Salmonidae.